AUUGAACGCUGGCGGCAUGCCUUACACAUGCAAGUCGAACGGCAGCACGGGUGCUUGCACCUGGUGGCGAGUGGCGAACGGGUGAGUAAUACAUCGGAACAUGUCCUGUAGUAGGGGAUAGCCCGGCGAAAGCCGGAUUAAUACCGCAUACGAUCUACGGAUGAAAGCGGGGGACCUUCGGGCCUCGCGCUAUAGGGUUGGCCGAUAGCUGAUUAGCUAGUUGGUGGGGUAAAGGCCUACCAAGGCGACGAUCAGUAGCUGGUCUGAGAGGACGACCAGCCACACUGGGACUGAGACACGGCCCAGACUCCUACGGGAGGCAGCAGUGGGGAAUUUUGGACAAUGGGCGAAAGCCUGAUCCAGCAAUGCCGCGUGUGUGAAGAAGGCCUUCGGGUUGUAAAGCACUUUUGUCCGGAAAGAAAUCCUUGGCUCUAAUACAGUCGGGGGAUGACGGUACCGGAAGAAUAAGCACCGGCUAACUACGUG
Molecule: ribosomal RNA, 486 nt
Filed under: uncultured bacterium
Lineage: Bacteria
Description: partial 16S ribosomal RNA
Rfam family: Bacterial small subunit ribosomal RNA
Source: RNAcentral